CAACUUGUUCUUAUUCCAAGAUAUUCGUUGCACUACAACUUGAUGAAUGUGAUGAUCCGUGACACUCAUCAUCAUUCUCACCUAUGAAUGCGUGCCUGACAACCACCUCCGUUCUACAUUAGACCGGGCGCAUAUCUCUUAGAUUCCCCCACAGAAUCUUCGUGGUAUAAGCUAGAAUUGAUGGCGGCAUUCAUGAG
Arachis ipaensis is the source of this 197-nucleotide non-coding RNA. The record is from RefSeq and is a predicted model, not a curated record. NCBI's taxonomy places the organism in Eukaryota, Viridiplantae, Streptophyta, Magnoliopsida, Fabales, Fabaceae.